RNAcentral lists this ribosomal RNA (459 nucleotides) under uncultured bacterium. RNAcentral describes it as "partial 16S ribosomal RNA". It matches the Rfam family "Bacterial small subunit ribosomal RNA", at positions 338 to 795 of the family's 1533-position model. The record is from RNAcentral.
CCUACGGGAGGCAGCAGUGAGGAAUCUUGGUCAAUGGCCGCAAGCCUGAACCAGCCAAGUCGCGUGAGGGAUGACGGUCCUAUGGAUUGUAAACCUCUUUUGUCAGGGAGCAAAGGGCGCCACGUGUGGCGCUUUGCGAGUACCUGAAGAAAAAGGAUUGGCUAACUCCGUGCCAGCAGCCGCGGUAAUACGGAGGAUGCGAGCGUUAUCCGGAUUUAUUGGGUUUAAAGGGUGCGCAGGCGGAAUGUUAAGUCAGCGGUAAAAUUUCGGGGCGAAACCCCGUCGUGCCGUUGAAACUGGCGUUCUUGAGUGAGCGAGAAGUAUGCGGAAUGCGUGGUGUAGCGGUGAAAUGCAUAGAUAUCACGCAGAACUCCGAUUGCGAAGGCAGCAUACCGGCGCUCAACUGACGCUGAUGCACGAAAGCGUGGGUAUCGAACAGGAUUAGAUACCCCGGUAGUC